Non-coding RNA from Candidatus Kaiserbacteria bacterium, 84 nucleotides. The record is from Rfam. NCBI's taxonomy places the organism in Bacteria, Candidatus Kaiseribacteriota.
GGGCAGGUGGCAGAGCGGUCAAAUGCACGAGACUGUAAAUCUCGCGCCCUUGUGGCUACGAAGGUUCGAAUCCUUCCCUGCCCA